AGAAACAAAAGAAAAACAUUUUGAGCAGAAUAUUCCAGAAGUCUUAAGGGAUACAUUUCUAAGUAUAGCUUCUCCAUUGAUUUGAGAUCUAGUCAGGGAAUGGUAUGGUAGAAUGGAAAACCUGUCAUGGUAGCAGGCUUGUCAGGCUAUAAAAGAGACCCUGUUUGGGAAUAUUUUAAUGAAGAUUAUAUCAAACAACAAAAAUGCACUUUUUGUAGAAAACAACAAUUAAAUCAAGGCUUUGUGACCAGCGAU
This is a long non-coding RNA of Gavialis gangeticus (Gharial), 255 nucleotides long. RefSeq lists it as uncharacterized. The record is from RefSeq and is a predicted model, not a curated record. The transcript is spliced from 3 exons. Lineage: Eukaryota; Metazoa; Chordata; Crocodylia; Gavialidae.